This 774-nucleotide ribosomal RNA is filed under the name uncultured Neocallimastigales. Its description in RNAcentral is "partial large subunit ribosomal RNA". It matches the Rfam family "Eukaryotic large subunit ribosomal RNA", at positions 24 to 616 of the family's 3401-position model. Lineage: Eukaryota; Fungi; Neocallimastigomycota; Neocallimastigomycetes; Neocallimastigales. The record is from RNAcentral.
UACGACUACAUAUCAGGCAUAUCAAUAAGCGGAGGAAAAGAAACUAACAAGGAUUCCCUUAGUAACGGCGAGUGAAGCGGGGAGAGCUCAAAUUUGAAAUCUUCAAGGUUUUACCUUGACGAAUUGUAGUUUAAAGAAGUGUUUUCUGUUGAAGUUUUGGUAAAAGUUCUUUGGAAUAGGACAUCAUAGAGGGUGAGAAUCCCGUAUUUGACCAUUAUUUUCAGCUGUGUGAUACACUUUCAAAGAGUCGGAUUGUUUGGGAAUGCAGUCCAAAAUGGGUGGUAAAUUUCAUCUAAAGCUAAAUAUUGGCGAGAGACCGAUAGCGAACAAGUACCGUGAGGGAAAGAUGAAAAGAACUUUGAAAAGAGAGUUAAACAGUACGUGAAAUUGUCAAAAGGGAAGCGUUUGACACCAGUGUUGUUUUCUCGAAAAUCAAUUAAAAAAAGUUGGAUUUUGUGUUGUAUUGACCUUAACAGCUUGCUUCACUCUUUUCCAGCUUUUUUUAAUGCACUUUUCGUUUAACAAGCCAACAUCAGUUUCUUUUGUUGUAAAAGGGUCAUUGGAAGGUGGCUUUCUCUUCGGAGAAAGUGUUUAUAGCCUUUGAUCUCUGCAAUCGGAGAGACUGAGGUCUGCAGCGUAGAUCCUUCGGGGUUAGAUACAUUUGUGCUAAGCUACAGCUUUUCAUAGACAACUUGUUGACUAUGUUUAGUCUUGUGACUUACCCGCUUAUGCUAUUUUACCUACGCUUAGGAUGUUGAGCGCAUGUCUCUCUCU